UACGGAGGGUGCAAGCGUUAUCCGGCAUCACUGGGUUUAAAGGGUGCGUAGGCGGUGGUGUAAGUCAGUUGUGAAAUGCCCCGGCUUAACCGGCGGAAGUGCGAUUGAUACUGCAUCACUUGAAUCAGGAUGAGGCAGGCGGAAUGUGGCAUGUAGCGGUGAUAUGCGUAGAUACCAGGAGGAAAACCGGUGGCGAAGGCGGCUUCCUGGACCGGCUCUGACACUCAUGCGCGAAAGCGUGGGGAGCAAACAGG
RNAcentral lists this ribosomal RNA (254 nucleotides) under uncultured bacterium. RNAcentral's name for it is "partial 16S ribosomal RNA". It matches the Rfam family "Bacterial small subunit ribosomal RNA", at positions 524 to 776 of the family's 1533-position model. The record is from RNAcentral.